This 484-nucleotide ribosomal RNA is filed under the name uncultured bacterium. Its description in RNAcentral is "partial 16S ribosomal RNA". It matches the Rfam family "Bacterial small subunit ribosomal RNA", at positions 29 to 507 of the family's 1533-position model. The record is from RNAcentral.
AUUGAACGCUGGCGGCAUGCUUUACACAUGCAAGUCGAACGGCAGCGCGGGCUUCGGCCUGGCGGCGAGUGGCGCACGGGUGAGUAAUACAUCGGAACGUGCCCAGCAGUGGGGGAUAGCUCGGCGAAAGCCGGAUUAAUACCGCAUACGACCUGAGGGUGAAAGCGGGGGAUCUUCGGACCUCGCGCUAUUGGAGCGGCCGAUGGCAGAGUAGCUAGCUGGUGGGGUAAAGGCCUACCAAGGCGACGAUCUGUAGCUGGUCUGUGAGGACGACCAGCCACACUGGGACUGAGACACGGCCCAGACUCCUACGGUAGGCAGCAGUGGGGAAUUUUGGACAAUGGGCGAAAGCCUGAUCCAGCAAGGCCGCGUGUGUGAUGAAGGCCUUCGGGUUGUAAAGCACUUUUGGCGGGAACGAAAAGGACUGUGCCAAUACCACGGUUCGAUGACGGUACCCGCAGAAUAAGCACCGGCUAACUACGUG